AAAAAAUUAAAAAUCUUUACUUUACAAAGUACUUAUUAUUCAGUGCUUUACAGUGGAAUGACUGUAAAUUACAGUGGUUUUGUUUCUCUGCUGUGUUGUGAUUUCCCAUCAGUCACAUGACCCGUAUCUGAGAUCAUAUCUCUGAUAUCUCAUAGCUUAUGUGUUAAAUACUUUCAGUUUUGUUUUGAUGCCUGAUCAAAAGGUUAAAUUGGAACAUUUACCAUGUUCAGAUGGCUGAAUAUGCUGCUGCUGUUUUGCUUUAUCAAUUAUAGAGAAACAACCAUAGGAAAUAUCCUUAUACACGUGACAGGACAAAAAGGAGAAGAUGUCACCCUGCCAUGUGAUAUUCAAGCCAGAGAGAUUUUUCAUUUCAUUUUAACCAGUCUGUCAAAAAGCAUCUUUGUUUGUCAGAAUGAAGAGUGUACGAGUAGCCGAGUAUUUAAAAAAGGAGCCUGUGACAUCAUCAUCAAGGAUCUGAGACUGAGUGAUGCUGGGAAAUACAUUUUGAGAGUCCAUUACAAUAAUACUGCAGAGCCACAAAUCAGGGAGUACCAUCUUCAAAUUCAAGAUGAAAUUUCUGUGAAAACAGGCGAGCAGGUGAAGUUGGAUGUUUUGUUUUCCCGUGCUGAUAAAGUAGAGACAAACUCCAGUGGAGAGUGGAGGGAGGUGUGGAAGAGAGGUCAUGGGGUCUGGAGUGAACGAAUGACUGACCGUGAUGGGAACUUGACCAUUAAAGAGUUUACAUCCAAUGAUACAGGAACAUACAGGGUUCUGGACUCUGAAGGAGAAAUCUUGAUCACAGUGACUGUCACAGAAUCUAGUACAGAAUCUGACUCAAAGAGGACAGAUGAUGACAAACCUUAUGACUCUGAACAGCAUACUGUAAAGAUUGUGAUUGGUGUACUGACUGUGUUUGGAGUUCUGGGGGUUCUGGCUCUUAUAAUUUUUGUAAGAAAAAUUAUAAACCUACCUGCAAAUGGAGGUUUCUUGCCAGUCCGCUGGAUAAGAGGGACACCUGAAGACUCAUAAUAUUCUCUCCUGAGGUACAUCUCUGCCAUUGCAGAACAUCUACUGGUGUUCAUCAACUGGUUACUUGAAAUUCACCUUCAGAGCCAACAGAUCAACACAGGAUUCUGUCAACAUACCGAAUGUCUGCAAUGUGUGCAAUAGUUAUCAGCUGUAAAUGUGAAACUGACAAUAUCGACAUUAUCUAAACGCCACUUCAGAUGCAGCUUCUGUGCCAAAGAUGGAUUUUGUUGAUUUCUUUUGAUUUGUAACAGCCUAAUUGUGUCUUAUACUAACUUAUUAUGGAUUAAAUGUAGGAAUUUGUCAUAAAAGAUAAUGCCUUUAUCUAAACAGGUUGGACAAAAUGCCCAUAUAAAGAUAAAAAAAUGCCCCGGGAAAUUAAUUUAAGAGAGAAAAUGUUACAUUUAAUGCAGAUAAGAAUAUGAAAAGCUUUUUUUGUAAGACAGGCCUAAACCAGUCAAGACAAACCAGCACAAAAACUCUAAGCAAAAUAUCAUCUAAUUAUCAUUAUCAACAAAAUGCCAGAAAAUACUGAGAUAUCAUAUGUGCGUAACUGAGAACAAUAUUUAAUAUGUAUGCUUUGUACAAAUGUGUUGAAAAAAUAUGUCAAGAUGAGGAAGAAUGUGUCCAAAGUUAAGUCUGUGUUCCUGACAAGUUAAACAACUUAUUCUUAUUUUAAGAAAAAAUAAACUAGGUCGAAAAAAAAACA
Molecule: long non-coding RNA, 1735 nt
Organism: Cyprinus carpio (common carp)
Lineage: Eukaryota; Metazoa; Chordata; Actinopteri; Cypriniformes; Cyprinidae
Source: Ensembl